This 222-nucleotide ribosomal RNA is filed under the name Ochromonas sp. CCMP1393. RNAcentral's name for it is "partial Bacterial large subunit ribosomal RNA". It matches the Rfam family "Bacterial large subunit ribosomal RNA", at positions 1487 to 1718 of the family's 2925-position model. The record is from RNAcentral. Lineage: Eukaryota; Chrysophyceae; Chromulinales; Chromulinaceae.
CAACCCGGGCGAUGGUUGUCCCGGGGCAAGUGCGUAGGCCGAGAGAUAGGCAAAUCCGUCUCUCACAUAGGCUGAGACACGAUGCGGAUAAAAAGUGGGUGAUCCUAUGCUGCCAAGAAAAGCAUCGACGUGAGGUUCUAGCUGCCCGUACCCCAAACCGACACAGGUGAUCUGGUAGAGAAUACCGAGGCGAUCGAGAGAAUCAUGGUGAAGGAACUCGGC